UACGUAGGGGGCGAGCGUUGUCCGGAUUCAUUGGGCGUAAAGAGCUCGUAGGCGGUUCGGUAAGUCAGGUGUGAAAACUCCAGGCUCAACUUGGAGACGCCACCUGAUACUGUCGUGACUAGAGUCCGGUAGGGGAGCAUGGAAUUCCUGGUGUAGCGGUGAAAUGCGCAGAUAUCAGGAGGAACACCAGCGGCGAAGGCGGUGCUCUGGGCCGGAACUGACGCUGAGGAGCGAAAGCGUGGGUAGCAAACAGG
Molecule: ribosomal RNA, 254 nt
Filed under: uncultured bacterium
Lineage: Bacteria
Description: partial 16S ribosomal RNA
Rfam family: Bacterial small subunit ribosomal RNA
Source: RNAcentral